This 400-nucleotide ribosomal RNA is filed under the name uncultured bacterium. RNAcentral describes it as "partial 16S ribosomal RNA". It matches the Rfam family "Bacterial small subunit ribosomal RNA", at positions 359 to 775 of the family's 1533-position model. The record is from RNAcentral.
GAUCUCGCGACAAUGGUCGAAAGCCUGACGCAGCAACGCCGCCUUCUGGACGACGGCCUUCGGGUUGUAAACCGCUUUUCGGGGGGAAGAGGAAGGACGGUUCCCUUGGCAGUAGUCUCGGCUAACUACGUCCCAGCAGCCGCGGUAAAACGUAGGAGGCAAGCGUUAUCCGGAGUUACUGGGCGUAAAGCGCGCGCAGGCGGUUAGGCAAGUUGGGUGUGAAAGCUCCCGGCUAAACCGGGAGAGUGCAUUCAAGACUGCCUGGCUAGAGGACGGUAGAGGGGCGCAGAAUUCGGGGUGUAGCGGUGAAAUGUGUAGAGAUCCCGAGGAAUACCAGUGGGGAAGCCGGCGCCCUGGGCCGAACCUGACGCUGAGGCGCGACAGCGUGGGGAGCGAACGG